This 326-nucleotide ribosomal RNA is filed under the name alpha proteobacterium BAL98. RNAcentral's name for it is "bacterial SSU rRNA". It matches the Rfam family "Bacterial small subunit ribosomal RNA", at positions 130 to 490 of the family's 1533-position model. Lineage: Bacteria; Pseudomonadati; Pseudomonadota; Alphaproteobacteria. The record is from RNAcentral.
CUUUUGGUUCGGAACAACACAGGGAAACUUGUGCUAAUACCGGAUAAGCCCUUACGGGGAAAGAUUUAUCGCCGAAAGAUCGGCCCGCGUCUGAUUAGCUAGUUGGUAGGGUAACGGCCUACCAAGGCGACGAUCAGUAGCUGGUCUGAGAGGAUGAUCAGCCACAUUGGGACUGAGACACGGCCCAAACUCCUACGGGAGGCAGCAGUGGGGAAUAUUGGACAAUGGGGGCAACCCUGAUCCAGCCAUGCCGCGUGAGUGAUGAAGGCCCUAGGGUUGUAAAGCUCUUUUGUGCGGGAAGAUAAUGACGGUACCGCAAGAAUAAG